Molecule: unclassified non-coding RNA, 291 nt
Filed under: fungal sp.
Lineage: Eukaryota; Fungi
Description: partial internal transcribed spacer region
Rfam family: Eukaryotic small subunit ribosomal RNA (bases 1-46)
Source: RNAcentral
AAGUCGUAACAAGGUAACCGUAGGUGAACCUGCGGUUGGAUCAUUAACAAAAAAUUGGAAGGCUUUUUUGAAUACUCUUCGGAAAAGCCUUUUAAAAACACCAAUUGUGAACUGUAUUAUUGUUUCUUUUCUGUGGUUUUAUCAUAAACUAGCAACGCCUUGUUUUUGUGAUAGCCCAGAAAAAACCCUUUUAAACUUAAAGAAUUAUACCAUUUUGACCAUUAAAUAAAAGUUUGAAAUUUUUUUUAAACAUUAAAAAAACAACUUUUGGCAACGGAUCUCUAGGCUCUU